UGUUAAGAUUUUUUUAAUUAUAGAAUAUUAAAUUAAAUAUAUUAUAUGAGUUAAUCCUCUAAUAUUAAUUUAUUAAAAUAAUUUAAUAUUAAGUAUAUCUAUAUAUUAAAAUUAUAUUUAAAUUUAAUUAAAUUAAAAAUUAACUAUGUUAAAAUUAGUAUAUACUUUUUAUUUUAUUAAGGAACUCGGCUAAUUAUUAUUCACCUGUUUAUCAAAAACAUAGUCUUAUGUAUUUAUAUAAGGUGAAACCUGCCCACUGAUAUUAAAUUUAAUGGCCGCAGUACCUUGACUGUGCUAAGGUAGCAUAAUAAAUUGACUUUUAAUUGGGGCCUUGAAUGAAUGGAUAAAUGGGUAAUUUCUGUCUCAAUAAAAAUUUUAUAAGUUACUUAAAAGGUGAAAAUUCCUUUAAAUAAAUUAAAUAGACGAGAAGACCCUAGGAGUUUUUAAUUUUGUUGGGGCGACAGUAUAGCAUUAUAACCUAUAUAUAAAUAUUAAUAUAAAACGAAUAAUUUUAAUAAUAAAUAAACUACCCUAGGGAUAACAGCAUAAUUUAAUUUUAAGUUUGUGACCUCGAUGUUGGACUAGGGACUUUUAAAGCUAACAGUGUUAAUUGGUAGUUCUGUUCGA
This 627-nucleotide ribosomal RNA is filed under the name Stanisicarion freycineti. Its description in RNAcentral is "partial 16S large subunit ribosomal RNA". The stretch from base 172 to 372 matches the Rfam family "Archaeal large subunit ribosomal RNA", at positions 1797 to 2106 of the family's 2987-position model. The record is from RNAcentral. Lineage: Eukaryota; Metazoa; Mollusca; Gastropoda; Stylommatophora; Helicarionidae.